AUACGUAGGGGGCGAGCGUUGUCCGGAAUGAUUGGGCGUAAAGGGCGCGUAGGCGGCCCGGUAAGUCUGGAGUGAAAGUCCUGUUUUUAAGAUGGGAAUUGCUUUGGAUACUGUCGGGCCUGAGUGCAGGAGAGGUCAGUGGAAUUCCCAGUGUAGCGGUGAAAUGCGUAGAGAUCGGGAGGAACACCAGUGGCGAAGGCGGGUAACUGGACUGCAACUGACGCUGAGGCGCGAAAGUGUGGGGAGCAAACAGGAUUAGAUACCCUGGUAGUCCACACUGUAAACGAUGAAUGCUAGGUGUAAGAGGUAUCGACCCCUUUUGUGCCGGAGUUAACACAAUAAGCAUUCCGCCUGGGGAGUACGGCCGCAAGGUUGAAACUUAAAGGAAUGGACGGGG
This 397-nucleotide ribosomal RNA is filed under the name uncultured bacterium. Its description in RNAcentral is "partial 16S ribosomal RNA". It matches the Rfam family "Bacterial small subunit ribosomal RNA", at positions 523 to 918 of the family's 1533-position model. The record is from RNAcentral.